RNAcentral lists this ribosomal RNA (253 nucleotides) under uncultured bacterium. RNAcentral describes it as "partial 16S ribosomal RNA". It matches the Rfam family "Bacterial small subunit ribosomal RNA", at positions 524 to 776 of the family's 1533-position model. The record is from RNAcentral.
UACAGAGGUCCCGAGCGUUGUUCGGAUUUACUGGGCGUAAAGGGUGCGUAGGUGGCGAUCUAAGUCGGGUGUGAAAUCUCCGGGCUAAACCCGGAGGGUGCGCCCGAAACUGGACUGCUAGAGGGUGGGAGGGGAGACUGGAAUUCUCGGUGUAGCAGUGAAAUGCGUAGAUAUCGAGAGGAACACCGGUGGCGAAGGCGAGUCUCUGGACCACUCCUGACACUGAGGCACGAAAGCCGGGGGAGCAAACAGG